Molecule: long non-coding RNA, 1982 nt
Organism: Struthio camelus australis
Lineage: Eukaryota; Metazoa; Chordata; Aves; Struthioniformes; Struthionidae
Source: Ensembl
GUAAAAAUUAGCAAAUAAAAACAGUGGCAGCAUCUCACCACAUUUUUCACACAGAAAAUAUGGUCAAAAAUGCAUCAAUCUUCUAUGAAGAUGUUUCAUUCUCUAACAUGUUUCAUUAUGUUUCCUUUUGCACUGAUCAUGACUUAUCUUGAACACAGUACCCUUAACUUUGGUAACUUUUAUUCCGUUCUUUCUUAUCCCAUUCUUUCUCAUAAAAAGCAGUAAAUGACCUGAUACGUAGUUGGCUGCUGCACAGUUACACUGAGCUGAAAACUACUGUGAGUGGGAACUGGCUUGAAGACCACUGCAUAUUCACUUUUCUAAGUGAAAAGCCUCUCUCUUUUGCAGGUACUUCAGUCUUGGCCUGUUGCCGAAACACUUGCUUGUGGAGGUGUCUUGCCAUCAGCUAUAGUUCAAUUAAGCAGAGCUAAACAGAGCGCAACGUCUUUCCACAAGGACUCCUCACUGUCAUCUUGCUCUGUCACUGUGGGCUGCCAGCCACUCAAGCCCUUAACCAGGUAACAUCUGAACCAGUGCUGUAGGUACAGUUGAUCCUGAGUGCACAGGAACAGUGAUAGGUCAGAUCAGUGUUGUUCAGUCUGUGAUCUGCUCCAUGAAACAUGGGAAUGUGAUCCAGGAAAUGACUGCAAAAUACCUUUUUGAAAAUUCUGCAUGCAGAACAUGAGCAAACAAGAAAAAAAAAAGAAGUAAAGCUUCGCUGAAAUUUAUCCGCCGGAAACCAGUGCAUGAAAUCAGGGCCAGGAGGGAGGAAGCGCCGUUGUCCCGAGGGAGCAUGUCCCCGCUGAUCCCCGCUUCUCUUCUCAGAGGAGCUGUGCCGUUAACUCGAUCAGCCUUUGAACGUGAAAAGAAGCUGUCACUUCAGUUGUUUGCUCAUGUAGGAAACGUUCCUGCGCUUAUUUGGAGCAAAGCAACAGCGCGACGGAUAAAGCUCUUCCAGUCUGACUCAGGAUUUAGGAGCUAGUUGUAGAGGACAUUUGUGUUGUGUUUUCCUCUUCAUUGUACUAUUAAAAUUGCUGCCAGAUUCUCCAGCGCGUUUGUAGAGUGGUGAGAAAUUGAAGAGCCAUAAAUAAUCUUCCAAGAAGCUGUCUCCCAGCGUGUGGCUGUAAAUCUUAGUACGGCUUCUUGUAUUGCCAUGGAAAUUAAGAAAUCACUACCAGCUUAAAUGCCACGGAGAAGAAAACGAUGUAAGGAAAUGCCAAAACAUAGCAGGACAAAAUCUUUCCCUUCUGAAUUUCCAGUGAGAUAGCUGGCUUCUGACAAGAGUUAAAUAGACCGACAGGGACUGCAAUCUGCGUGUCUCUGAAGGUCCCCCUGGUAGAGAGAAGUAAUAUCUGUGGUGGCUACAGUGCAUUGAAACUUUCUAACUUGCCCCUUGCAAAGAAAGUUUCCCACAGAAGUGCUAGUUAAACAUUAAUGCAGUACCUUUGUUUGUGCCAUGGGUAUAGUAUUCCCCAGGAGAGGGACAAGCACAGGUGAAUGAUCCUAGACCUGUGUUUCUCUCACCUUUCACAGAUCCAGUGUUAAAUCCUGGCUUAAGGUUUCUUUAUUUACCAGAUAGCGUGAGAGAGUCUGUGAUACUGCUUACAUAGUGAUUUUAGCAACUAGUGUAGCUGACUGCGUAGUUUGCUUGUAGAGGUGUGGUGAAAGGUGUGGUUAGACAACAAAGGCUAAGCCUAUUUAGGAGAGCGUUAAUGCCAAAAGUAGCAGUCUCUCCCUCCUUUCCCUGUCUCUCAAGUAUUCGCUAUUGCCAGUUCCUCUGUCCUGACACUGGUGUUUCUCUGAUCCUCCUGUGAGCUGAGUCACUUCAUUAAGAUAGUGGAAAACUGCCCCACAAAGAAAACGUGAUCCACCUUCUGCUCGAUCUGUAGUAGGGAACUGUAUCCGUUCACUGAAGGGUGAUCAGAUGAGCUGGCAUGAGGAAAAGGGUGGGAGCACGUGUUGGGGAACAGCAGGGAUUGGGA